GUUUGGUGAAAAGGCAAUAUGGUUGGACAGAAGGAUUUAUCCAUGUUGAUAGGUUAUGUGGCCAGCCUCAGAUCGGCUAGAUUGUGCCAAUGGAUGAGGUGCCACUACACUGCUGCUGCUGAUGGAUUAGUGCAACAUAUACUUACAAGUUUCAGUUUCCUC
Molecule: long non-coding RNA, 162 nt
Organism: Lolium rigidum
Lineage: Eukaryota; Viridiplantae; Streptophyta; Magnoliopsida; Poales; Poaceae
Exons: 3
Source: RefSeq, a predicted model, not a curated record